Molecule: transfer RNA, 72 nt
Filed under: Chelonia mydas (Green sea turtle)
Lineage: Eukaryota; Metazoa; Chordata; Testudines; Cheloniidae
Rfam family: tRNA
About the family: Transfer RNA (tRNA) molecules are approximately 80 nucleotides in length. Their secondary structure includes four short double-helical elements and three loops (D, anti-codon, and T loops).
Source: Rfam by way of RNAcentral
GGCAGUGUGGCCUAAUGGAUGGAACACUAGACUGGCAUUCAGGACACCUGGGUUCUAUGCCCAGCUCUGCCA